AAGGUUAAAGCAUUAGGGUAAUGCACCCGGCUUGAAACCGGGGGAUGGGGGUUCAAAUCCCUCUAACCUUG
Molecule: transfer RNA, 71 nt
Filed under: Bregmaceros nectabanus (smallscale codlet)
Lineage: Eukaryota; Metazoa; Chordata; Actinopteri; Gadiformes; Bregmacerotidae
Description: tRNA-Ser
Rfam family: tRNA
About the family: Transfer RNA (tRNA) molecules are approximately 80 nucleotides in length. Their secondary structure includes four short double-helical elements and three loops (D, anti-codon, and T loops).
Source: RNAcentral